CCUACGGGAGGCAGCAGUAGGGAAUCUUCCACAAUGGGCGAAAGCCUGAUGGAGCAACGCCGCGUGGGUGAAGAAGGUCUUCGGAUCGUAAAACCCUGUUGUUAGAGAAGAAAGUGCGUGAGAGUAACUGUUCACGUUUCGACGGUAUCUAACCAGAAAGCCACGGCUAACUACGUGCCAGCAGCCGCGGUAAUACGUAGGUGGCAAGCGUUAUCCGGAUUGAUUGGGCGUAAAGGGAACGCAGGCGGUCUUUUAAGUCUGAUGUGAAAGCCUUCGGCUUAACCGGAGUAGUGCUUUGGAAACUGGGAGACUUGAGUGCAGAAGAGGAGAGUGGAACUCCAUGUGUAGCGGUGAAAUGCGUAGAUAUAUGGAAGAACACCAGUGGCGAAAGCGGCUCUCUGGUCUGUAACUGACGCUGAGGUUCGAAAGCGUGGGUAGCAAACAGGAUUAGAUACCCCAGUAGUC
This 465-nucleotide ribosomal RNA is filed under the name uncultured bacterium. Its description in RNAcentral is "partial 16S ribosomal RNA". It matches the Rfam family "Bacterial small subunit ribosomal RNA", at positions 338 to 795 of the family's 1533-position model. The record is from RNAcentral.